GCCAGGCAUGGUGGUGGGUGCCUGUAAUCCCAGCUACUUGGGAGGCUGAGGCAGGAGAAUCACUGGAACCCAGGAGAUGGGGUUGCAGUGAACUGAGAUUACGCCACUGCACUCCAGCCUGGGUGACAGAGCGAGACUCUGUCUCAA
Molecule: unclassified non-coding RNA, 147 nt
Organism: Callithrix jacchus (white-tufted-ear marmoset)
Lineage: Eukaryota; Metazoa; Chordata; Mammalia; Primates; Cebidae
Rfam family: Metazoan signal recognition particle RNA
About the family: The signal recognition particle (SRP) is a universally conserved ribonucleoprotein. It is involved in the co-translational targeting of proteins to membranes. The eukaryotic SRP consists of a 300-nucleotide 7S RNA and six proteins: SRPs 72, 68, 54, 19, 14, and 9.
Source: Ensembl